UGGGGAAUUUUGCGCAAUGGGCUAACGCCUGACGCAGCAACGCCGCGUGGAGGAUGAAGGUCUUUGGAUUGUAAACUCCUGUCAGCAGGGAAAAAGCGAAUCGGCCUAAUACGCCGGUGAGUUGAUUGUACCUGCAGAGGAAGCCCCGGCUAACUCUGUGCCAGCAGCCGCGGUAAUACGAAGGGGGCUAGCGUUGUUCGGAAUUACUGGGCGUAAAGCGCGCGCAGGCGGUCCUUCAAGUCAGAGGUGAAAGCCCAGAGCUCAACUCUGGAACGGCCUUUGAGACUAGAGGACUUGGGUACGGGAGAGGUGAGUGGAAUUCCGAGUGUAGAGGUGAAAUUCGUAGAUAUUCGGAAGAACACCAGUGGCGAAGGCGGCUCACUGGCCCGUUACCGACGCUCAGGCGCGACAGCGUGGGGAGCAAAC
This 426-nucleotide ribosomal RNA is filed under the name uncultured bacterium. RNAcentral describes it as "bacterial SSU rRNA". It matches the Rfam family "Bacterial small subunit ribosomal RNA", at positions 355 to 773 of the family's 1533-position model. The record is from RNAcentral.